RNAcentral lists this ribosomal RNA (253 nucleotides) under uncultured bacterium. RNAcentral describes it as "partial 16S ribosomal RNA". It matches the Rfam family "Bacterial small subunit ribosomal RNA", at positions 524 to 776 of the family's 1533-position model. The record is from RNAcentral.
UACGUAGGUGGCUAGCGUUGUCCGGAUUUACUGGGCGUAAAGAGCGCGCAGGCGGUCGUUCAAGUCGAGUGUGAAAGCCCCCGGCUCAACUGGGGAGGGUCACUCGAUACUGAUCGACUCGAAGGCAGGAGAGGGAAGCGGAAUUCCCGGUGUAGUGGUGAAAUGCGUAGAUAUCGGGAGGAACACCAGUGGCGAAGGCGGCUUUCUGGCCUGUUCUUGACGCUGAGGAGCGAAAGCGUGGGGAGCGAACAGG